RNAcentral lists this ribosomal RNA (497 nucleotides) under uncultured bacterium. RNAcentral's name for it is "partial 16S ribosomal RNA". It matches the Rfam family "Bacterial small subunit ribosomal RNA", at positions 28 to 507 of the family's 1533-position model. The record is from RNAcentral.
GAUGAACGCUGGCGUCGUGCCUAAUACAUGCAAGUCGAGCGAACAGACGAGGAGCUUGCUCCUCUGACGUUAGCGGCGGACGGGUGAGUAACACGUGGAUAACCUACCUAUAAGACUGGGAUAACUUCGGGAAACCGGAGCUAAUACCGGAUAAUAUAUUGAACCGCAUGGUUCAAUAGUGAAAGACGGUUUUGCUGUCACUUAUAGAUGGAUCCGCGCCGCAUUAGCUAGUUGGUAAGGUAACGGCUUACCAAGGCAACGAUGCGUAGCCGACCUGAGAGGGUGAUCGGCCACACUGGAACUGAGACACAGUCCAGACUCCUACGGGAGGCAGCAGUAGGGAAUCUUCCGCAAUGGGCGAAAGCCUGACGGAGCAACGCCGCGUGAGUGAUGAAGGUCUUCGGAUCGUAAAACUCUGUUAUUAGGGAAGAACAAAUGUGUAAGUAACUAUGCACGUCUUGACGGUACCUAAUCAGAAAGCCACGGCUAACUACGUG